This 70-nucleotide transfer RNA is filed under the name Mastax latefasciata. RNAcentral's name for it is "tRNA-Trp". Lineage: Eukaryota; Metazoa; Arthropoda; Insecta; Coleoptera; Carabidae. The record is from RNAcentral.
UAAGGAUUUAAGUUAACUUAAACUAAUAACCUUCAAAGUUAUAAAUAAAGAAUAUCUCUUUAAACCUUAA